RNAcentral lists this ribosomal RNA (253 nucleotides) under uncultured bacterium. RNAcentral describes it as "partial 16S ribosomal RNA". It matches the Rfam family "Bacterial small subunit ribosomal RNA", at positions 524 to 776 of the family's 1533-position model. The record is from RNAcentral.
UACGUAGGGUCCGAGCGUUAAUCGGAAUUACUGGGCGUAAAGCGUGCGCAGGCGGUUUUGUAAGCCAGAUGUGAAAGCCCCGGGCUCAACCUGGGAGCUGCAUUUGGGACUGCAAGGCUGGAGUACGGCAGAGGGAGGUGGAAUUCCACGUGUAGCAGUGAAAUGCGUAGAGAUGUGGAGGAACACCGAUGGCGAAGGCAGCCUCCUGGGCUAGUACUGACGCUCAUGCACGAAAGCGUGGGGAGCAAACAGG